ACCACCCAAUCUUAUAGCCUCAACUUUCAUGAUAUAUACAUGAUUUUGACAAAAAACCUACUACCUGAGGAACACAGUUGAGUUUGGGAGCAGGCUAGUGCCCAUUCAGACAUAUGCAUCUCACCCUGCAGGGGCAGAGGCUGUCCAGGUUCAGGAUCCCUUCUGGGAUUAUAAUACCCCAGGGGCCAUUCUAGCUAGAGAUCAGUUUACAACCAGCCUGCCAGAUGCUCUUCCUAAGGCUGCCCUCACAAAGUAAAUUCUGAUAAACUUCUGGAGAUACUUUUGGAUAAACAUGAAAAUCCCUCUCAGUUCCUAGAAUGCCUUAAAAAGGCCUUUUUACAGUAUACUAACCUAGACGCUGAGAAGCCACAGCGAAGACAACUCCUUAUGACAUUUUUUCCCUGAUCUCCCCUGAUAUUAGGGUUUAGCUUAGGCUUCUGUAGAAAGGACCUCUAACAUCACAGGCAGGAGAAUUAAGGUGACUUUUAAGGUAUACCAUGAGAUAGAUGAGACAGCCAUUAAAGUCACAUACUAUAUGAAGCCGAGGCCAUCCUACCUGCAUCAGAGUCCUCUAGCCAACUUCCUAGUCCUGGCCAUAAAUAUUUUUUAAAAAGAAUUCAGAUUGCCUAGGCCUGGCCAUAGAUGACUCUGAGUGAAGGGGCCCAGGAUCUCUUGACCCAAACACAUUCAUUUCUGACAGGGAGCCUGGGUGGACAACAAGGUAUCAGAGUGAUCCCUCUCCUUCCUCUUGGACACAGGUACCACAUACUCAGUCCUGAGGGAAUUUUGGGGACUCAGUUCUCCUUCUUGUCUCACUGUUGUCUGGGUAGGGGAACAGCCUCACCUACCUCAUCAAACCCCACCACUCAAAUGCAUUUUCAGGGAAUUCCCCUCACUCAUUCAUUUAUAGCAACCUGUCCUGUCUCCUUACUGGGAAGGGUUCUUUAGCCCAAGUAGGAGCUACUAUUUCUUUUGCUUUUUUUCCCCAUUCCCCUAUGUUGGGACCCAGCCCUCAUGGGUUCUCUGUGAGUUGUUCUGCAACAUAACCACAGGUACCUCCUGUCUUUCUAAACCCUGCCCACUAACAUCCUGUUAUGAACCUUUCUUGUUAUUGAAACAUUAUUUCAUGCCCCCAUCCCCUUCUUGCUUUGUUGGUCGUGGGUGGGGGUUGUGAUUUCCUUGUUUAUGAUAGGGUGUCGGAGUGCUUUCUGCUAGGAGGUGAUGUUUUCCCAUCUCCUCUUGUAUAUAAGCUGCUGGCUGCAAUAAACUGAUGGCAUUCGAUUCUACUCAAUGACCCAUGUUGUGUCCUUCUUAAUACACAGAUUCUCACCUGGUCUGGUUCUUCAGUUGCUGGUGUUAACACUAGAGACAAUUGGAGGUCCCACUGAGAUCCAGGAAAUCAGAGCUAUCCUGAUGGACCAGCCCUGAAGAUUGUGGCCACAAGACAAGGAAGCGGGCACUGGGGUUGACAGUCCGACUCAAAAGGAUCUGAGUCCACUGAUAAGGAGGAUGAGGAUGAGGAUCAUUUUGAGGAAGAAAAGGAAUCAGAAGAGGAAAUUAAAGAUUUACAAAUGCAGUUAAGGGAGAUGGGAAUGAAGGAAAAUCUUAAGAGCAUGAAGAAUAAACCUUGCCUUGCCUGCAUCUAUGCCCCCCCCCAGCUUAUGAGAAUUAUACUACUUGUGUUCCUGAUUCUAAUGCUUCAUCUCCCAAAGGGGUAGUUUUUGGAAAGUCAUUGGGUUUCCCUGUUAUAAGUCCCUGACCCUAAUAAUCCACGACAGGUCAUGCUGCAGCAUGUACCCCUUAAAUUUAAGGAGCUCAAACAAUUGAAAGAGGCUGUCUGCAGUUAUGGCCCUUUGGCUCCAUUCACAAUAGCUAUGACAGAGUCCUUCUCACCACUUAAUCUUACCAGAAUGAUUGGCAAUAGCUUGCUAGAGCAAUGCUUAAUUGAGGAGAUUUUUGUUAGGUCGAGGGGAAUUUUAGGAGGCAUGCAUCAUUAUGGCUAAUAUGAACACACAGGCAGGUUUUCUUCAAAGAAAUGUUGAUAUG
Molecule: non-coding RNA, 2046 nt
Organism: Cricetulus griseus (Chinese hamster)
Lineage: Eukaryota; Metazoa; Chordata; Mammalia; Rodentia; Cricetidae
Source: RefSeq, a predicted model, not a curated record